CCUCCUCAGCCUUACUCCAGGGCCUUCUUGCCUGUAGAGUGACCUGGCAUUGCCUGAGGAUAGAUGACGGAGCACAUGUCCCUCCCCGGAAGGAGUCCACUUUCUCCUGGGGCCUACACAUCGCGCUGACAGU
RNAcentral lists this small nucleolar RNA (133 nucleotides) under Procavia capensis (Cape rock hyrax). Its description in RNAcentral is "Small nucleolar RNA SNORA49 (ENSPCAG00000019329.1)". It matches the Rfam family "Small nucleolar RNA SNORA49". From Rfam's summary of the family: The snoRNA ACA49 has no identified RNA target. NB genomic sequence 1-nt different from published. Lineage: Eukaryota; Metazoa; Chordata; Mammalia; Hyracoidea; Procaviidae. The record is from RNAcentral.